UGGGGAAUAUUGCACAAUGGGCGCAAGCCUGAUGCAGCCAUGCCGCGUGUGUGAAGAAGGCCUUCGGGUUGUAAAGCACUUUCAGCGAGGAGGAAGGUGGUGAGCUUAAUACGCUCAUCAAUUGACGUUACUCGCAGAAGAAGCACCGGCUAACUCCGUGCCAGCAGCCGCGGUAAUACGGAGGGUGCAAGCGUUAAUCGGAAUUACUGGGCGUAAAGCGCACGCAGGCGGUUUGUUAAGUCAGAUGUGAAAUCCCCGGGCUCAACCUGGGAACUGCAUUUGAAACUGGCAAGCUAGAGUCUCGUAGAGGGGGGUAGAAUUCCAGGUGUAGCGGUGAAAUGCGUAGAGAUCUGGAGGAAUACCGGUGGCGAAGGCGGCCCCCUGGACGAAGACUGACGCUCAGGUGCGAAAGCGUGGGGAGCAAAACAGGAUUAGAUACCCUGGUAGUCCACGCUGUAAACGAUGUCGAUUUUGGAGGUUGUGCCCUUGAGGCGUGGCUUCCGGAGCUAACGCGUUAAAUCGACCGCCUAGGGAGUACGGCCGCAAGGUUAAAACUCAAAUGAAUUGACGGGGUCAUAGCUG
RNAcentral lists this ribosomal RNA (582 nucleotides) under uncultured bacterium. RNAcentral describes it as "partial 16S ribosomal RNA". It matches the Rfam family "Bacterial small subunit ribosomal RNA", at positions 355 to 932 of the family's 1533-position model. The record is from RNAcentral.